This 67-nucleotide transfer RNA is filed under the name Chorisoserrata biceps. RNAcentral describes it as "tRNA-Cys". Lineage: Eukaryota; Metazoa; Arthropoda; Insecta; Blattodea; Pseudophyllodromiidae. The record is from RNAcentral.
AGUCUUGUAUUCAAAAAUGAUAACAGAAUGCAAUUCUGUAGGAGUAGAAUAUAAUCUAUUAAGACUU